AGUGAACGCUGGCGGUAGGCCUAACACAUGCAAGUCGAACGGCAGCACAGUAAGAGCUUGCUCUUACGGGUGGCGAGUGGCGGACGGGUGAGGAAUGCAUCGGAAUCUACUUUUUCGUGGGGGAUAACGUAGGGAAACUUACGCUAAUACCGCAUACGACCUACGGGUGAAAGCAGGGGAUCUUCGGACCUUGCGCGAUUGAAUGAGCCGAUGUCGGAUUAGCUAGUUGGCGGGGUAAAGGCCCACCAAGGCGACGAUCCGUAGCUGGUCUGAGAGGAUGAUCAGCCACACUGGAACUGAGACACGGUCCAGACUCCUACGGGAGGCAGCAGUGGGGAAUAUUGGACAAUGGGCGCAAGCCUGAUCCAGCCAUACCGCGUGGGUGAAGAGGGCCUUCGGGUUGUAAAGCCCUUUUGUUGGGAAAGAAAAGCAGCAGGUUAAUACCCCGCUGUUCUGACGGUACCCAAAGAAUAAGCACCGGCUAACUUCGUG
Molecule: ribosomal RNA, 492 nt
Filed under: uncultured bacterium
Lineage: Bacteria
Description: partial 16S ribosomal RNA
Rfam family: Bacterial small subunit ribosomal RNA
Source: RNAcentral